RNAcentral lists this ribosomal RNA (318 nucleotides) under Blackburnia asquithi. RNAcentral's name for it is "partial 28S ribosomal RNA". The record is from RNAcentral. Lineage: Eukaryota; Metazoa; Arthropoda; Insecta; Coleoptera; Carabidae.
GAUGGUUCGAUUAGUCUUUCGCCCCUAUACCCAGUUCAUACGAUCGAUUUGCACGUCAGAAUCGCUACGGACCUCCAUCAGGGUUUCCCCUGACUUCAUCCUGACCAGGCAUAGUUCACCAUCUUUCGGGUCCCAGCGUGUACGCUCUUGGUGCGCCGCAACUUGCAAUAAGUACGCGACGCCCCGGGAAUGCGAGGUAACAUAAAUAACGUUACCCAUCUUCCCUUUAUAAUAAUAAUUAUAAAAAUUAUAUAUAUAUUUACUUUCAUUACGCCUUUAGGUUUAUUAUAAAUACCCAAUGACUUGCGCACAUGCUAG